RNAcentral lists this ribosomal RNA (584 nucleotides) under uncultured Russulaceae. Its description in RNAcentral is "eukaryotic LSU rRNA". The stretch from base 217 to 370 matches the Rfam family "5.8S ribosomal RNA". The record is from RNAcentral. Lineage: Eukaryota; Fungi; Basidiomycota; Agaricomycetes; Russulales; Russulaceae.
CGGAAGGAUCAUUAUUGUAUAAUAGGAUGUGUAAAGGCUGUUGCUGACCCUUUUAAAAGGGUUGUGCACGCCCAAAGCACUCUUAAUAUAUAUUAUCCAUCUCACCCCACUUUGUGCAUCACCGCGUAGGUCCUCUUUUUAUUAAAGGGGCUUUGCGUUUUAUAUCAAACUUGUCAUACUAUAGAAUGUUAUAAUUUGCAUUUAUGCAAUUAAUACAACUUUCAACAACGGAUCUCUUGGCUCUCGCAUCGAUGAAGAACGUAGCAAAAUGCGAUACGUAAUGUGAAUUGCAGAAUUCAGUGAAUCAUCGAAUCUUUGAACGCAACUUGCGCCCCUUGGCAUUCCGAGGGGCACACCUGUUUGAGUGUCGUGAUUAUUCUCAGAAACCUUUUUCUUUUGAAAGGGUUUUUGGACUUGGAGGUUUUUAAUGCUUGCUUUAUAUCAAAAGCAAGCUCCUCUUAAAUAAAUUAGUAGGAUCUGCUAUGCUAAUCCUUAAAUGUAAUAAGAUUACUUCUACAUUAUUUGGAUUUGGUAUUGUCUUUUGGAUUCCUGCUUCUAACUGUCUUAAUAGACAACAAUAGUGG